CCUACGCGAGGCAGCAGUGGGGAAUAUUGCACAAUGGGGGAAACCCUGAUGCAGCGACGCCGCGUGAGUGAAGAAGUAUUUCGGGAUGUAAAGCUCUAUCAGCAGGGAAGAUAAUGACGGUACCUGACUAAGAAGCCCCGGCUAACUACGUGCCAGCAGCCGCGGUAAUACGUCGGGGGCAAGCGUUAUCCGGAUUUACUGGGUGGAAAGGGAGCGUAGGUGGCAGUGCAAGUCAGAUGGGAAAACCCGGGGCUCAACCCCGGGAGUGCAUUUGAAACUGUCCAGAUGGAGUGUAGGAGAGGUAAGCGGAAUUCCUGGUGUAGCGGUGAAAUGCAUAGAUAUUAGGAGGAACACCAGUGGCGAAGGCGGCUUACUGGACUGUAACUGACGUUGAGGCUCGAAAGCGUGGGGAGCAAACAGGAUUAGAUACCCCAGUAGUC
Molecule: ribosomal RNA, 440 nt
Filed under: uncultured bacterium
Lineage: Bacteria
Description: partial 16S ribosomal RNA
Rfam family: Bacterial small subunit ribosomal RNA
Source: RNAcentral